This 3111-nucleotide long non-coding RNA is filed under the name Zostera marina. RNAcentral's name for it is "long non-coding RNA (ZMAR_LNC001810)". Lineage: Eukaryota; Viridiplantae; Streptophyta; Magnoliopsida; Alismatales; Zosteraceae. The record is from RNAcentral.
ACUCUCCUAGAAAAAUCAAACCGCCUCCCCGGCUCCUCCCCUCCAAAAAAAAUAAGUUAGGUCACGUACUCCUGGAGUCCUGGUUGGUCAUAAAGGUUAGGUGUUGAUAAUUUGCAUACUUUUCGUGAUCUAAUAAUCUGAUGGAGGGAAUAUGUAUUGUGUAUUUAUGUAGUGAAGUCGCAACAGCUAACAAAUCGUCUUCACGCCGCGUCGCCGCUAAUCAAUUAAGGUAACUAGGUAAGGAAAUAAACAAACCUUCAAAUCAAAUGUUCUACGCUUAGCUGUCCAUAUCUAAUGGUCAUUCUUUCCCUUGGAAAAGAACCGGGAAAACCCCCGUCCAUGAUUUGACGACGGAGAAGACUUUGGAGGUCGUGACUUUUGAGAUUUAGGGGUGGUUGGUGAUUUUGGAAUUGGGACUGAUUCAGUGUCGGAUGGAAUGUAAUGAUCAUAUGCCUCAAAAUGAGAUUGGUCUCCAACUCUUUGGAUGCCAGAAAUAUUACUAGUUUCUGCCCAUUCUUUCGACAGGUGAAGAUUUGAGUCACUUGUGCUGAGGACAUCUUCAGAGAAAUCUUUAUUUACAUGAAAUGGUCUAUUUGGAGUAGCGGGGACAGUGUUGGGUCGGGAAUGCAAGGAUUUAAAUUGUUUGCCAAGUAGAAAUAUUGUUUCCUGGCACUCGGCAAGUUUCUCUGCAGCAGCUGUUAUCUCCAUCUCCUGUUAGAGAAAUUAUGUUUAGAUAUUGUUUUGGCAUUGAGAAAUAUAAUCUUUUUUUAAUUAUACUUAACUAAUAAGUACUAAUUUCAAUAAGAAGACAGGAUCAAUGUAUAAAAGAGAAAACAAAUUGGUCGAGUGAUAAGUGAUAAUAACUAAUUGAAAUUAAAAUACCAACAAACCUGUUUUAUCUUCGCAUCUGCAUUUGCAUCAGGUUCCGAACAUAUUAGGCCUUUUACAUUCCUGUAUUAAAAACAGAUAAUCUUUAAUCCUGUUAAUAUGGUGUGUGAUUGUGUAUGUCUACAUAUACAUAUAUAGUUAUAUACUUAUAAAUAGAGAAAGACCAUCCAAUUUUUUUGCAGGUCAUUUUGAUGCUAACCUUUCCAUUUGCUUUUGCAGAUCUUUGUAUUUUUCUAAAUCUUCCUGAUGUGCAGACACUUCAUUUUUAAGUUCAAUUUCAAGCGUAUCAAUUUUUGACUGGAGAAAGCUAAUUUCUGUUUCUAGGUCAUUUGAGCGUGAUUCUAGUAAUCGGUAAGAUUCUGCCAUACAUUUCAAUUGAGUCUCGGCCAAGCUAUUAGACUUCUGAGAACCAGUAAAUUGUGAUUCAAGGUCCUGAAGAUUUUGCUCUGUUUCAACCAACCGUAACUUUGUCUUUUCUAAACUUUCAGUACAUUUAGCAAGUUCAUCUGCCAAAUUGUCCUUCUCAAUUUUCAACAGAUCAAACUCCUCCUGCGAAUAAUUUAUUAAUGAUCCCUUCAUUUCAGCAGUUUUGGCAUCAAAAGAACCUAAAAGUCUUCCUUUCCCAAUUUCAUGCCGAUCAACUUUGUCGAUGUAAUCAGGGAUGCUUGACUCUGAUGUACAUUCCUUAUUUCCGAAAAUUCUAGAAUCAAGUUUGCUUCUUUCAGAAAAAAUGGCUGACAAGGUAACUAUGAACUCAUCCACACAUAAAUCACAGGACAUAACUUUAUUCACCACAGAAGAAAGUUCACUGACCUUACCAAGCAAGUCAGGAUCAGAAGACCUUACAUAUAAUUCCACAAAAUCAUAAAUAUGUUGAAUGGCCUUCUUCAAAUCAUCGACCAUGACAGUUUUCUUCUCAAUACACUUAUUAAUCGGCAAAUCUUCAUGACAAUUCUUUUGGAUGUAUUUAUUAUCUCCAUUUGGAUGAGGUAACUCUUCUUCUAAUUCACGCACAAGACUUUUAACACUCUCUAAAAGUUUGCUCAUGUUUGUAUUGUCCUUGGUUUCUGAUUCAACUAUCAAAGAUAUUCCUGACUGGAAUUUUGAAAGUAAAACGGUAUUUUGUUUAGAAACUAUUUUUCUAGUUUGUUCUUCAUCAAAUGAUAACGGAUAUGCUGUUGGCUGAAGCUCUGAAUGUUCCUCUUUCUGUGAAUUGAUGUCUUUGGAUGCAUACACAGAUCCAGUGGAUUCCGCUGAUAAGCAUGCAAGUUUCUCCAUCUCAAGAAAAUCAUCCAUGAGCUCUAAAUUACAAGAACUCCCAGCCUUGCUGAAUUUGUCAGCAUCUUUAUCAUUCUUCAGAUUUGACAUUAAUGUUGUAGCCCAAAUCCUCCCCUCUGUAAAACUUGCUACUUCGUCAUUGCCAUCUUCAGACAUUGACGUCAUGCUUUGUGCGUUGCUUUCGUUUUGACUUAGAAAACCUUCGACAGGGAUAUCAAUUGUGGUCUUCGAUGGACUUCUCUUUUGAUUCAUAGUAAGCAUGUGGCUUUCCAAACUUCGAAACUUGUUGGCUGUUUUUGUAAACAUGUUUCUAGAAGUUUGUAAUUCAUUGUCACGCUUCGACAGAGCCUCUUUCAACAUCUUAGUGUCUAAUUCUGUUUCUUGCAAGCGUGCAUUCAAGAAUUCGUUCUCUUUCUGAAAUUGAUGAAUAUUUUCAAAACUGUAAUCUGGAACAGAGAGCAUAUAAGGACUAGAACAUUUUGCAGGAGAUCGCCUUACUCGACUUUCACCAUAAUCACGGCCUACAGAGUCCACUUCAGAUUUCAUUUGAGCCAAUGCAGCUGGGCCAGGUAAUUUUUUCCGAACCAGACCACGCAAUUUUUGGCACUCUGCUUCUAAUUUUGUUAUUUUCUUUACAUCUUCCAAGUGAUGCUUGUUUGCAACUUCCACAGAACGUUCACUCAUUCUCUUUUCUUCAUUUCGGAUUUCAAGCUCCUUUGAGACAAUAUUUACUUCGUACUUCAUUGAGUUUAAUUCCCUUUCAGUAAAAUCUAGGUCUUUCUUUAAAUCAUCUAUAUUAGCAUCAGCUUGAGCUUUCUCUUCACUGAUCUUCAUUAACAUUUCAGAGCGUUCUUCAAGAGAUCUGGAAAGAGCAUCAUUUUCAGCUGUAGCUCGAAAGAGAUCUUCUUCAAAUUCAUUUAUUUUUAUCUCAAAUUCAAGCUCUAC